UUCGCAAUGCCCGAAAGGGUGACGAUGCGACGCCGCGUGAGCGAAGAAGGUCCUAGGGUUGUAAAGCUCUGUCGAGGGUUAUGAAAUAUAGAUGGGUUAAUACCCCAUUUAUUUGACAAAAGCCCAAAAGGAAGCCACAGCUAACUCUGUGCCAGCAGCCGCGGUAAUACAGAGGUGGCGAGCGUUGUUCGGUAUUAUUGGGCGUAAAGAGCACGUAGGUGGUUUUGUAAGUCAGGUGUGAAAGCCUUCUGUUCAAAGGAAGAACGGCAUCUGAAACUGCAGAUCUUGAGUGUAGGAGGGGAGAGUGGAACUUCUGGUGGAGCGGUGAAAUGCGUAGAUAUCAGAAGGAACGUCGGCGGCGAAAGCGACUCUCUGGCCUAUUACUGACACUGAGGUGCGAAAGUUAGGGGAGCAAACGGGAUUAGAUACCCCGGUAGUCCUAACCGUAAACGAUGGGCACUAAGUAGAGGGGUUUU
RNAcentral lists this ribosomal RNA (476 nucleotides) under uncultured anaerobic ammonium-oxidizing bacterium. Its description in RNAcentral is "bacterial SSU rRNA". It matches the Rfam family "Bacterial small subunit ribosomal RNA", at positions 365 to 832 of the family's 1533-position model. The record is from RNAcentral.